This 239-nucleotide ribosomal RNA is filed under the name uncultured bacterium. RNAcentral's name for it is "partial 16S ribosomal RNA". It matches the Rfam family "Bacterial small subunit ribosomal RNA", at positions 118 to 354 of the family's 1533-position model. The record is from RNAcentral.
UGAGCAAUCUGCCCUUCUCAUCGGAAUAAGCGUUGGAAACGACGUCUAAUGCCGAAUACGACCUCCUUUCGCAUGAUCGGAGGUGGAAAGCUCCGGCGGAGAAGGAUGAGCUCGCGGCCUAUCAGCUAGUUGGUGUGGGUAACGGCCCACCAAGGCGACGACGGGUAGCCGGCCUGAGAGGGUGACCGGCCACACUGGGACUGAGACACGGCCCAGACCCCCGUACGGGAGGCAGCAGG